GGGGGAUAUUGCGCAAUGGGGGCAACCCUGACGCAGCAACGCCGCGUGAAGGAUGAAGGUUUUCGGAUUGUAAACUUCUUUUAUUAAGGACGAGAAAUGACGGUACUUAAUGAAUAAGCUCCGGCUAACUACGUGCCAGCAGCCGCGGUAAUACGUAGGGAGCAAGCGUUGUCCGGAUUUACUGGGUGUAAAGGGUGCGUAGGCGGCUUUGCAAGCCAGAUGUGAAAUCUAUGGGCUCAACCCAUAAACUGCAUUUGAAACUGUAGAGCUUGAGUGAAGUAGAGGCAGGCGGAAUUCCCCGUGUAGCGGUGAAAUGCGUAGAGAUGGGGAGGAACACCAGUGGCGAAGGCGGCCUGCUGGGCUUUAACUGACGCUGAGGCACGAAAGCGUGGGUAGCAAACAGGAUUAGAUACCCUGGUAGUCCACGCUGUAAACGAUGAUUACUAGGUGUGGGGGGUCUGACCCCUUCCGUGCCGGAGUUAACACAAUAAGUAAUCCACCUGGGGAGUACGGCCGCAAGGUUGAAACUCAAAGGAAUUGACGGGGGCCCGCACAAGCAGUGGAGUAUGUGGUUUAAUUCGAAGCAACGCGAAGAACCUUACCAGGUCUUGACAUCCAACUAACGAAGUAGAGAUACAUUAGGUGCCCUUCGGGGAAAGUUGAGACAGGUGGUGCAUGGUUGUCGUCAGCUCGUGUCGUGAGAUGUUGGGUUAAGUCCCGCAACGAGCGCAACCCUUGCUAUUAGUUGCUACGCAAGAGCACUCUAAUAGGACUGCCGUUGACAAAACGGAGGAAGGUGGGGACGACGUCAAAUCAUCAUGCCCCUUAUGACCUGGGCUACACACGUACUACAAUGGAUGUUAACAGAGGGAAGCAAGACAGCGAUGUGGAGCAAACCCCUAAAAACAUUCUCAGUUCAGAUUGCAGGCUGCAACCCGCCUGCAUGAAGAUGGAAUUGCUAGUAAUCGCGGAUCAGCAUGCCGCGGUGAAUACGUUCCCG
This 1000-nucleotide ribosomal RNA is filed under the name uncultured organism. Its description in RNAcentral is "bacterial SSU rRNA". It matches the Rfam family "Bacterial small subunit ribosomal RNA", at positions 356 to 1376 of the family's 1533-position model. The record is from RNAcentral.